Molecule: ribosomal RNA, 504 nt
Filed under: Sphaerophoria tuvinica
Lineage: Eukaryota; Metazoa; Arthropoda; Insecta; Diptera; Syrphidae
Description: SSU rRNA
Rfam family: Eukaryotic small subunit ribosomal RNA
Source: RNAcentral
AAAAAUAACAAUACAGGACUCAUAUCCGAGGCCCUGUAAUUGGAAUGAGUCCACUUCAAAUCCUUUAACAAGGACCAAUUGGAGGGCAAGUCUGGUGCCAGCAGCCGCGGUAAUUCCAGCUCCAAUAGCGUAUAUUAAAGUUGUUGCGGUUAAAACGUUCGUAGUUGAACUUGUGCUUCAUACGGGUAGUACAACUACAAUUGUGGAUUGUACAUUACCUUAUGUAUGCAAGCGUAUUAUCGGUGGAGUUCUUAUAUGUAAUGAUACUUGUAUUGUUAUAUAUACCUCCUAUUUAAACCUGCUUCAGUGCUCUUCAUCGAGUGCUGUUGUGGGCCGAUACAAUUACUUUGAACAAAUUAGAGUGCUUAAAGCAGGCUCCAAAUGCCUGAAUAUUUUGUGCAUGGAAUAAUGAAAUAAGACUUCUGAUCUACUUUCAUUGGUUUUUAGAUCAAGAUGUAAUGAUUAAUAGAAGCAGUUUGGGGGCAUUAGUAUUACGACGCGAGA